This 201-nucleotide ribosomal RNA is filed under the name uncultured bacterium. RNAcentral describes it as "partial 16S ribosomal RNA". It matches the Rfam family "Bacterial small subunit ribosomal RNA", at positions 130 to 334 of the family's 1533-position model. The record is from RNAcentral.
CCGAUGGAGGGGGAUAACUACUGGAAACGGUAGCUAAUACCGCAUAACGUCGCAAGACCAAAGAGGGGGACCUUCGGGCCUCUUGCCAUCGGAUGUGCCCAGAUGGGAUUAGCAGUAGGUGGGGUAACGGCUCACCUAGGCGACGAUCCCUAGCUGGUCUGAGAGGAUGACCAGCCACACUGGAACUGAGACACGGUCCAG